UCCCCCUUACCCUUUCUCUCUCUAUCCUUUUCUAUGAAAUCUUAGGCGCCGCCUCAUUAUUCUCUCCUCUCUCUCUCCGCCAAAGUGGUAAAAGUACAAAAACAACAGAGAAAAUACAGCUUUUGCAUGUCUAUUAUGGUGAAACAAUUAAUGUUUCACUUGAUUUUGCGGAAAAAAAAAUAUGUUCCAAACACGGGUUUGGAAGCACAAAGGCUUCAAGUUCAACUCUUGACAAGGCUGCGCAUAAAAAAGGUAGACAGGGAGGCGAGCUCGAGCCAGACUCGUAGGAUCUGUUAUCCAAUUGAAAGCACUCUUUUGUUCCGGAGAUGCUUGGUUAUUCUUUUGUGUAUAUUUGUAUAUGUUGGGCUCGACGGGGUCCUGUCCCGUCUAUGCGUUUUGUACUUCAGUAGAGGCUCGUAGAUACACGGUGUGGGUUAUGUGGUAUGAUAGGGUCACUAUGGUAUAAUUGUAUAUACAUUAUUGUGAUAGCCUAAAGGGCUUAUGUAUAUAAAACUAUUUAUUUUUA
This is a long non-coding RNA of Lycium barbarum (goji berry), 526 nucleotides long. RefSeq lists it as uncharacterized. Lineage: Eukaryota; Viridiplantae; Streptophyta; Magnoliopsida; Solanales; Solanaceae. The record is from RefSeq and is a predicted model, not a curated record. The transcript has 3 exons.